Molecule: long non-coding RNA, 2930 nt
Organism: Tyto alba (common barn owl)
Lineage: Eukaryota; Metazoa; Chordata; Aves; Strigiformes; Tytonidae
Exons: 4
Source: RefSeq, a predicted model, not a curated record
UGCUGAGGCAACCAGGAAUUACAGGUUCAUGCGAGUUCAUCUGUACAAAGCCACAGAACACCUCCUUUCUCAUGCAGGAACCUAGCAGAUACAGUCCGCUAUUGGCAGGGAUCGCUAAUGUGAUGCAGGAAGACUCAUCCUCGAACAGUUUUCCGCUCCUCGUCCUGGAAGAAAAGUUUAUGCUUGCAGUGUUGUCCAAGGACAAAACCAAUACAGAAGUUCAGGAACAGAAUUUUUUGUACCCAAAUGGAAGCUGCAUCUUCUUAGUGCGAUCUCUCAGCCAUGGCAUCAGUUGAGGCAGGUACCGAGAGGUAACCCUCAUUUCAGACCGCAGGGUUGAAACCGGGAAGACCAGUCGAGAGAACGAGAACUAGACCCUGAUGGAAGCGGGACAAAACCCGCCUUCGGGCGACCGUUACCGCCGCGACGCGGCCCGCGGGCGCCAUCUUGUGGGCAGGCGGCCAUUAGCCGCGGGCGCGCCGGUCACGUCCCCCUUCUCCUGAGGGGGCUCCCGGGCGGCCGGGCCGAUCGGUACGGCCGGCGCUGCGGAGCGCGCGGGCCCCGCCGGUCGGAGCGGCGGCGGCUGCCGGCCCCAGGGUGCCCUGAGGGGGCUCAUGUCGGGGGCGCUGGCGGCUGUUUCCAGCACAGCGCCCAACAGUGACCUGAGUGCACGAGUUGUGGGGGCGUGACGGCUCCGAGGCUUUCAGAAUUCCCUUGUUUCCCCUUUCUCUCCGAGCACUUGAUUUACGGAUGAAAGACUUCGCAACUCAGGGUUGUAAAGCAGAUUGUGGAGUCUGUUUUCCGCAAUUCAGUAGGGACGCAGCGAUGCGUUUGAAGUCCUCUACAUCUGCGCUGAGAUAUGGACCUAACUUGCAAAGCAAAUGUGGAAAAUGUCUGCAAGCAUGGGACUGAAAGAGAUGACACUUGGGGAGGGAAGUCUGUGAGACGCCUCUUGAGGGUCGUGGUACCAUCUCAGAGCAACGACCCAAGGAGGCAGCUGACUUCUGUCAAAGUCCCUGUUCUCUGUUGACCAAAGGCAUUGCACCGGCUGGUGAGAUUUCUUCUUCCCCCUUCCUCUUCCCUUUCCCUGCUUCCCAGGGGAAUCGGAUGAUUAAGUGAUGGAGACUUAAGUAAUAGCAACGAUCAUCAGCAAGACUCAGAAAGAGAACUGCAGUGCAAAACAAACAAACUUUCAGCAGGAACCCAUUUUUAAUAUACUCUGCAGCACGUUUAAUAAUGUAAUUCUCCAGUGCAUCUGCAUGUUUCACUAUACUUGUGAAGGAGAAGAAACACUGGCUCAUGCAAAAUUGCUCUGAAGCAUUCAUUGAUACACCGAAAAUUCAGCAGGCCUACACCAAGUUAUGAUGUUGGGCUUUUUAUGGGUAAUUUGAUGCAAAGGAGAAACUUUUUUCUUUCAUGCGUGCAGAUUUUGUCGAAGGUGGUGACUCUUGGUUUUGUGAAGAUAAACUUCUUGCCUUUUCGAGCAUAGACGCGCCUCUGACCUUAUCUCCAGAAUAGCAAUAGAAUUUAUUAACACGAUGUGGGGCCCCAUGUGAACUGGAAUACCUUUGCUUCACUUGCUUCGGUUUUGUGUCUUUGCUCAUUUCUAAAGGGGGGAAAAUAACAAUUUUCUGAUAGUUUUGUCUGUUGCUUCCGGUCUUGUGAAACUAAUGGUAAAAUAUUCGAAGUGUUAAUCUUUAGGUGCAUUUUUUUUUUCUACAGUCUGCCAAAUUCUGUUAGCUAAAACACGGCCAAAAAGUCACACUAAGCAUGAGAAAAGACAAUGGAGUAACCUUUGCCAGCUGCUGUAUAGAACACCAACUUUUGUACAGCUUGGAGAAAAAAUGGAGUAUCAACUCCCUGGGAGAAGAAAAAAAGGAGCAUUUGAUGCUUUGAUGGUGAGAGAGGAGCUAUGAACAAUCUCUCAUUUCAGUUAAAAAUUGUUUAUACUCCUGAUUUACUCGCUGGAGAUACCACAGUAUCACUAACAACUCUUUGGUACCGUUUGUGACAACUGAUAAUUGAACUGCUUUAAAAUGGGAGUGACAGUUCAUCUCAGCCGUGACACAGAGCAGGCUGUGGUGUUCUCUGCAGCAAGGAGCCGCUGCAUGGGCAAGGGAGAACUGUUGAAGCUGCUUCUCCUCAACUUCCACUGGCAGACAGGGAUGUCGCCAGAAAUCAGCAAAACCAGGGCCGGGCCAGCAGCUGGGGCAAGUGCAGGCUCCAAGGGCACUUGGAGGCCCUUGUUAGUAACCUGAGAGUAAAAGAAUAAAGAAACCUCUGACAACUGCAGGAAAAGUCUUAGUCUCUCAUGACUGCAAGCAGUGCAGCUGGCGUCGCUAUUGCUGCCACCCGUCACGGUUUCUCCUCCUUCUCCUGGUGCUCUACUCACCUUUCCCCUCGUGUUUCCAUUGCUUGUGUCCCUCUCCCGUCUACAGUUAUCCCACCAUCUUUCUUUCCUGCUUUCUUAAAUGGUACUGUUUUCUUCUAUUAUUCUCAUAGUGUUCUGUCUCUUGUUGUUUUAGAGGGAUUCUGUUAUAUUUCCAGAGAGCUUCCUUCCUCUCCAGGUACUUAAUGCAGAUGCCACUUUUGGCUUGGACACAUCCUCUAGCUUUUCAUAUUGUCUCAGCAGAGCAGCCAUGGGACGAGCUGAAUGAUGCUGGUUUGAUGCUUGUGUCAGUCUCCGCAAGCUCUGCUUAAAACCACAUGAACUCCUUGCAAGCACAGAAAACCCGUGUGUAGGCCAUAAGUAGGUGUAACACAGGCGUUAUCUCCCUUUGUUUAAAAACAAGGUAUUGAUGACUUGCCUUAAAGAGUGACCUGUGUGAACCGACUCUACUUAGGUGAAGUUCACUUUGCACUAUUAAUGUUCCCAGUAUUUGUAAGGCUUUUUAAAUUGUAACUUUAUUAUAUAAAUGGUCUCACAGAAA